AACGAACGCUGGCGGCAUGCCUAACACAUGCAAGUCGAACGAGACCUUCGGGCCUAGUGGCGCACGGGUGCGUAACGCGGGGGGACAUGCCCUUAGGUUCGGAAUAACUCCCCGAAAGGGGUGCUAAUACCGGCGCAUGUCUUCCGACCAAAGAUUUAUCGCGUUUGGAUGGGCCGGCGUUGGAUUAGCUAGUUGUUAGGGUAAAAGCCUAUCAAGGCGACGAUGCAUACCUGGUCUGUGAGGAAGAUCAGCCACACUGGGACGGGGACACGGUCCAGACUCUUGCGGGAGGCAGCAGUGCGGGAUAUAGGAAAGUCGGGGGAGGGCUGAACGAGCUCUGACGGGUGAGUGAUGUAGGUCGGGGGGUUGGAAAGCUAGUUUACCCGUGAUGAUAAUGACGGUACCGGGAGAAUAAGCUCCGGCUAACUCCGUG
RNAcentral lists this ribosomal RNA (433 nucleotides) under uncultured bacterium. Its description in RNAcentral is "partial 16S ribosomal RNA". It matches the Rfam family "Bacterial small subunit ribosomal RNA", at positions 29 to 507 of the family's 1533-position model. The record is from RNAcentral.